RNAcentral lists this ribosomal RNA (497 nucleotides) under uncultured bacterium. RNAcentral's name for it is "partial 16S ribosomal RNA". It matches the Rfam family "Bacterial small subunit ribosomal RNA", at positions 28 to 507 of the family's 1533-position model. The record is from RNAcentral.
GACGAACGCUGGCGGCGUGCCUAAUACAUGCAAGUUGAGCGCUGAAGGUUGGUACUUGUACCAACUGGAUGAGCAGCGAACGGGUGAGUAACGCGUGGGGAAUCUGCCUUUGAGCGGGGGACAACAUUUGGAAACGAAUGCUAAUACCGCAUAAAAACUUUAAACACAAGUUUUAAGUUUGAAAGAUGCAAUUGCAUCACUCAAAGAUGAUCCCGCGUUGUAUUAGCUAGUUGGUGAGGUAAAGGCUCACCAAGGCGAUGAUACAUAGCCGACCUGAGAGGGUGAUCGGCCACAUUGGGACUGAGACACGGCCCAAACUCCUACGGGAGGCAGCAGUAGGGAAUCUUCGGCAAAGGACGAAAGUCUGACCGAGCAACGCCGCGUGAGUGAAGAAGGUUGUCGGAUCGUAAAACUCUGUUGGUAGAGAAGAACGUUGGUGAGAGUGGAAAGCUCAUCAAGUGACGGUAACUACCCAGAAAGGGACGGCUAACUACGUG